This 449-nucleotide ribosomal RNA is filed under the name uncultured bacterium. Its description in RNAcentral is "bacterial SSU rRNA". It matches the Rfam family "Bacterial small subunit ribosomal RNA", at positions 329 to 794 of the family's 1533-position model. The record is from RNAcentral.
UUCCAGACUCCUACGGGAGGCAGCAGUGGGGAAUAUUGCACAAUGGGGGGAACCCUGAUGCAGCGACGCCGCGUGGGUGAAGAAGCGCCUCGGCGCGUAAAGCCCUGUCAGCAGGGAAGAAAAUGACGGUACCUGAAGAAGAAGCCCCGGCUAACUACGUGCCAGCAGCCGCGGUAAUACGUAGGGGGCAAGCGUUAUCCGGAUUUACUGGGUGUAAAGGGGGCGCAGACGGCGAUGCAAGCCAGGAGUGAAAGCCCGGGGCCCAACCCCGGGACUGCUCUUGGAACUGCGUGGCUGGAGUGCAGGAGGGGCAGGCGGAAUUCCUGGUGUAGCGGUGAAAUGCGUAGAUAUCAGGAGGAACACCGGUGGCGAAGGCGGCCUGCUGGACUGCAACUGACGUUGAGGCCCGAAAGCGUGGGGAGCAAACAGGAUUAGAUACCCUUGUAUGA